This 585-nucleotide long non-coding RNA is filed under the name Gossypium barbadense (sea-island cotton). Its description in RNAcentral is "long non-coding RNA (GBAR_LNC016861)". Lineage: Eukaryota; Viridiplantae; Streptophyta; Magnoliopsida; Malvales; Malvaceae. The record is from RNAcentral.
AAAAACAUAAAAAUCCCCCCUUCUAUUACAUUCAGAUCUGGCAUUUAUAGCCAUUUCAAUACAAUAUUUUAAAUUUCUUGCCAUUGCUUCCUGACGUCUGCCUCUGUCUUAGUGUUUGCUUUCUUUUUGUCUUAUUCUGCAGGUGACGGAAAUCAACAGGUGGGCGCACAUGGAGGAGUUGGUGGGAGUGUCAGACGCGUGGGGCGUGGUGGCCAAGGCUGAGGGGCAUGGUGGCCAACAUGGUGGCAUGGAGAGCUGGGGUUUGCUGCUGAAAUUUUGCUGAAAAAUGUUUUAGAUUUUGGGCCUUUUGGGCUUUAGGGUUUUGAUUUGUUUGGGUUUAAAUUUUGGGUCAGAUUUUGGGUUUGUAAAUGGGCUGUUACUUUUGGGUUUAUUAUUUGAGUUAUUUUGUUGGUAUGGGCCCGGGCAAAAUGGGCUCGUACAUUUACCUAAUGCCUACAUGUUUGCUAAUUUUCUAGGGUUACCGGAUAAAUUUUGAUCACACCUUUGGUCAUCCAAAUCACAUUUGUAUGAACUCAAAUUUCGAUAGAUUGAUCAAAAUUACCUUCUUAGUAAUUAGAACCAUCA